GUGUGCACUGCAAUGGUAGAUUGCUACUUAGGUUUUUACUUCAGAUCUUUUACUAGUUAUUCUCUAUGUGAAAACAUAGCAUGACCAAAUUUCUAAAUGCAGAUUCUUUAGUUUCUCUCACAUUUUUGUCACAACUUCCCUUCCCACACAGGUCUUUACCACCGAUCACCACAAGAUCAAACUUGUUAUUUGUGGAAUCUAGACUUCAUUUAUAUCAUAAUUUUAUUUUUUUUUCCCCGGAUGAUGAAUGAAGAGGCCAGAAAUGAGGAUAGGCAGGUUCUGAUCCUGGUACUUGAGAAUUUUAUUAUUUUUUGCAUUGAGGAAAACUCUGCAACAUUUAACAGGCCCAUUACAUUACAACAGUGGACAGCAUGACAUAUUUCCUUUAUCUUAACGAAUCCAGAGGUAUAGCUGUUACUGCCCCUGGCAGAGAAUUGUCUGAGGUAAUUGAUGCUUUGCAGAAAGUCUGGAAGAAAUCUUCUUUGGCAGUUCCAAAGCUGUUACAAAGUGCAAUGAAGUAGUGCCCUUCAGUCAACUGAAAAUAAUCAGUAGGAGAGAGGCUUUGGUGCAUGGACGAAUCCAAACCUUGUGUUGCUUUCAUGCUUUUUUGUGCACUGUCAUGAAUUUUUCAGCAAAUUAUACAGUAACAGAAAUUAUAGCAGACAUCAUUAACUCUUGGCAGGACAUAUUCUCCCUGGACAAGACCAACAGUAUCCUCUCCAGACAUCUAUCGAGGUCUUUUUUGAGGUUUAAAGGCCUCCAAGGGAGAGAUUUGUCCCCUGCAUUUAUAAAAUAAUAGCACAGUCGAGCACAACUUCAGUUCCCUUCGGGAUGUUUGUGUGCUGGGAAGAGAAGCAAUAUUUAUUUCAUUAAACCAAAUAAAGUAAACUGAAGAUUAAAAUUAAUAUAUUGG
This 913-nucleotide long non-coding RNA is filed under the name Cyanistes caeruleus (blue tit). RNAcentral describes it as "lncRNA (ENSCCEG00000000781.1)". Lineage: Eukaryota; Metazoa; Chordata; Aves; Passeriformes; Paridae. The record is from RNAcentral.